AUUGAACGCUGGCGGCAGGCUUAACACAUGCAAGUCGAGCGGGGUGAUGGUGCUUGCACUAUCACUUAGCGGCGGACGGGUGAGUAAUGCUUAGGAAUCUGCCUAUUAGUGGGGGACAACAUCUCGAAAGGGAUGCUAAUACCGCAUACGUCCUACGGGAGAAAGCAGGGGAUCACUUGUGACCUUGCGCUAAUAGAUGAGCCUAGGUCGGAUUAGCUAGUUGGUGGGGUAAAGGCCUACCAAGGCGACGAUCUGUAGCGGGUUUGAGAGGAUGAUCCGCCACACCGGGACUGAGACACGGCCCAGACUCCUACGGGGGGCAGCAGUGGGGAAUAUUGGACAAUGGGGGGAACCCUGAUCCAGCCGUGCCGCGUGUGUGAAGAAGGCCUUAUGGUUGUAAAGCACUUUAAGCGAGGAGGAGGCUCUUUUGGUUAAUACCCAAGAUGAGUGGACGUUACUCGCAGAAUAAGCACCGGCUAACUCUGUGCCAGCAGCCGCGGUAA
Molecule: ribosomal RNA, 503 nt
Filed under: uncultured bacterium
Lineage: Bacteria
Description: partial 16S ribosomal RNA
Rfam family: Bacterial small subunit ribosomal RNA
Source: RNAcentral